RNAcentral lists this non-coding RNA (26 nucleotides) under Homo sapiens (human). The record is from RNAcentral. Lineage: Eukaryota; Metazoa; Chordata; Mammalia; Primates; Hominidae.
UCGACAUCUCAUCCAUGCUUUGUGUC